CGCUCUUUGCAAAAUAAUUAAAGUAUAAAGAGUCCUGCCUGCCCAGUGACGUUGUUAAACGGCCGCGGUAUUUUGACCGUGCAAAGGUAGCAUAAUCAUUUGCCUUUUAAAUGGGGGCUGGUAUGAAUGGCAAGACGGAGGUUCAGCUGUCUUUUUCUUUUGUCUUGAAAUUUAUUUUUUUGUGAAGAAGCAAAGAUUAAUUCGUAGGACGAGAAGACCCUAUCGAGCUUUAGCAUAGUAGUUCUAGUGGUAUUUUUGUUUACAUAAUUUAAUCUACCUGAGUUUUGGUUAAUAAGAUUAGUUUUUAUAGGAAAAUUAUAUAGUUCUAUUGUUUGGGUUGGGGCAACCGUGGAGAAAAUAGAUCCUCCAUUAGUUAUAAGAAGAAGAGACAACUUUGUUAAGAGAAGAAAUGAUCCGAUAGUAUUGUCGAACAAAGGAAYAAGUUACCGUAGGGAUAACAGCGUAAUUUUUUUGGAGAGUCCAUAUUGAUAAAAAAGUUUGCGACCUCGAUGUUGGAUCGGGAUUUCCUAGAGAUGCAGCAGUUUCUAAGGGUUGGUCUGUUCGACCAUUAAAAUCCU
This 578-nucleotide ribosomal RNA is filed under the name Tarsaster galapagensis. Its description in RNAcentral is "partial 16S ribosomal RNA". It matches the Rfam family "Bacterial large subunit ribosomal RNA", at positions 1816 to 2597 of the family's 2925-position model. Lineage: Eukaryota; Metazoa; Echinodermata; Asteroidea; Forcipulatida; Pedicellasteridae. The record is from RNAcentral.